CACGUAGGGGGCACGCGUUGUCCGGAUUUAUUGGGCGUAAAGAGCUCGUAGGCGGCUUAGUAAGUCGGGUGUGAAACCUCCAGGCUCAACCUGGAGACGCCACCCGAUACUGCUGUGGCUAGAGUCCGGUAGGGGAGCGUGGAAUUCCUGGUGUAGCGGUGAAAUGCGCAGAUAUCAGGAGGAACACGAGCGGCGAAGGCGGCGCUCUGGGCCGGUACUGACGCUGAGGAGCGAAAGCGUGGGGAGCAAACAGG
RNAcentral lists this ribosomal RNA (254 nucleotides) under uncultured bacterium. Its description in RNAcentral is "partial 16S ribosomal RNA". It matches the Rfam family "Bacterial small subunit ribosomal RNA", at positions 524 to 776 of the family's 1533-position model. The record is from RNAcentral.